This 488-nucleotide ribosomal RNA is filed under the name uncultured bacterium. Its description in RNAcentral is "partial 16S ribosomal RNA". It matches the Rfam family "Bacterial small subunit ribosomal RNA", at positions 28 to 507 of the family's 1533-position model. The record is from RNAcentral.
GACGAACGCUGGCGGCGUGCUUAACACAUGCAAGUCGAACGCGCCUGUCCUCUGGGUUUCUGGGGGGUGGGUGAGUGGCGAACGGGUGAGUAACACGUGAGUAACCUGCCCCCUUCUUCGGGAUAACGGUCUGAAAGGGCUGCUAAUACCGGGUAUUCACUGGUCUCCGCAUGGGGUCUGGUGGAAAGGUUUUUUUCUGGUGGGGGAUGGGCUCGCGGCCUAUCAGCUUGUUGGUGGGGUGAUGGCCCACCAAGGCUUUGACGGGUAGCCGGCCUGAGAGGGUGACCGGUCACAUUGGGACUGAGAUACGGCCCAGACUCCUACGGGAGGCAGCAGUGGGGAAUAUUGCACAAUGGGCGCAAGCCUGAUGCAGCGACGCCGGGUGAGGGAUGGAGGCCUUCGGGUUGUGAACCUCUUUCGCCCGUGGUCAAGCCGCGACGUGGGUCGUGGUGAGGGUAGUGGGUAAAGAAGCGCCGGCUAACUACGUG